GCAGUCGUGGCCGAGUGGUUAAGGCGGUGGACUAGAAAUCCAUUGGGGUCUCCCCGCACAGGUUCGAAUCCUGUCGACUGCG
This 82-nucleotide transfer RNA is filed under the name Ixodes scapularis (black-legged tick). RNAcentral's name for it is "tRNA-Ser". It matches the Rfam family "tRNA". From Rfam's summary of the family: Transfer RNA (tRNA) molecules are approximately 80 nucleotides in length. The record is from RNAcentral. Lineage: Eukaryota; Metazoa; Arthropoda; Arachnida; Ixodida; Ixodidae.